RNAcentral lists this transfer RNA (74 nucleotides) under Fidelibacterota bacterium. Its description in RNAcentral is "tRNA-Met". It matches the Rfam family "tRNA". Rfam says of the family: Transfer RNA (tRNA) molecules are approximately 80 nucleotides in length. The record is from RNAcentral. Lineage: Bacteria; Pseudomonadati; Fidelibacterota. RNAcentral also lists the same sequence under 3 other names.
UGCGGGGUGGAGCAGUCUGGUAGCUCGUUGGGCUCAUAACCCAAAGGUCGCUGGUUCAAAUCCAGCCCCCGCUA